Molecule: long non-coding RNA, 214 nt
Filed under: Populus tremula
Lineage: Eukaryota; Viridiplantae; Streptophyta; Magnoliopsida; Malpighiales; Salicaceae
Description: long non-coding RNA (PTRE_LNC002221)
Source: RNAcentral
GAGCGUGUUUGGCAGUGUGGUAGCGGUUGCUUUUCAAAUAGCUUUUCGUGCCGAAAUACAUGCAAAUGAUGUUUUUUCAUUUUUUAAAAAUCAUUUUUGAUAUCAGCACAUCAAAACGAUCCAAAAAGUAUAACCGUAACUCAAUUUUAGCAAAAAAAAAAAAAAAAAAUUUUUGAAUUUUGUUAAAACGCCGGUUUGGCAGCAAUGCCAAACG